RNAcentral lists this ribosomal RNA (1363 nucleotides) under Salmonella enterica subsp. enterica serovar Virchow. RNAcentral's name for it is "partial 23S ribosomal RNA". It matches the Rfam family "Bacterial large subunit ribosomal RNA", at positions 1461 to 2802 of the family's 2925-position model. The record is from RNAcentral. Lineage: Bacteria; Pseudomonadati; Pseudomonadota; Gammaproteobacteria; Enterobacterales; Enterobacteriaceae.
GCGAAGGGGGGACGGAGAAGGCUAUGUUGGCCGGGCGACGGUUGUCCCGGUUUAAGCGUGUAGGUGUGUGUUCCAGGUAAAUCCGGUUCACUUUAACACUGAGGCGUGACGACGAGGCACUACGGUGCUGAAGCAACAAAUGCCCUGCUUCCAGGAAAAGCCUCUAAGCAUCAGGUAACAUCAAAUCGUACCCCAAACCGACACAGGUGGUCAGGUAGAGAAUACCAAGGCGCUUGAGAGAACUCGGGUGAAGGAACUAGGCAAAAUGGUGCCGUAACUUCGGGAGAAGGCACGCUGACACGUAGGUGAAGUGAUUUACUCACGGAGCUGAAGUCAGUCGAAGAUACCAGCUGGCUGCAACUGUUUAUUAAAAACACAGCACUGUGCAAACACGAAAGUGGACGUAUACGGUGUGACGCCUGCCCGGUGCCGGAAGGUUAAUUGAUGGGGUCAGCGCAAGCGAAGCUCCUGAUCGAAGCCCCGGUAAACGGCGGCCGUAACUAUAACGGUCCUAAGGUAGCGAAAUUCCUUGUCGGGUAAGUUCCGACCUGCACGAAUGGCGUAAUGAUGGCCAGGCUGUCUCCACCCGAGACUCAGUGAAAUUGAACUCGCUGUGAAGAUGCAGUGUACCCGCGGCAAGACGGAAAGACCCCGUGAACCUUUACUAUAGCUUGACACUGAACAUUGAGCCUUGAUGUGUAGGAUAGGUGGGAGGCUUUGAAGUGUGGACGCCAGUCUGCAUGGAGCCGACCUUGAAAUACCACCCUUUAAUGUUUGAUGUUCUAACGUGGACCCGUAAUCCGGGUUGCGGACAGUGUCUGGUGGGUAGUUUGACUGGGGCGGUCUCCUCCUAAAGAGUAACGGAGGAGCACGAAGGUUGGCUAAUCCUGGUCGGACAUCAGGAGGUUAGUGCAAUGGCAUAAGCCAGCUUGACUGCGAGCGUGACGGCGCGAGCAGGUGCGAAAGCAGGUCAUAGUGAUCCGGUGGUUCUGAAUGGAAGGGCCAUCGCUCAACGGAUAAAAGGUACUCCGGGGAUAACAGGCUGAUACCGCCCAAGAGUUCAUAUCGACGGCGGUGUUUGGCACCUCGAUGUCGGCUCAUCACAUCCUGGGGCUGAAGUAGGUCCCAAGGGUAUGGCUGUUCGCCAUUUAAAGUGGUACGCGAGCUGGGUUUAGAACGUCGUGAGACAGUUCGGUCCCUAUCUGCCGUGGGCGCUGGAGAACUGAGGGGGGCUGCUCCUAGUACGAGAGGACCGGAGUGGACGCAUCACUGGUGUUCGGGUUGUCAUGCCAAUGGCACUGCCCGGUAGCUAAAUGCGGAAGAGAUAAGUGCUGAAAGCAUCUAAGCACGAAACUUGCCCCGA